RNAcentral lists this ribosomal RNA (402 nucleotides) under bacterium. RNAcentral's name for it is "partial 16S ribosomal RNA". It matches the Rfam family "Bacterial small subunit ribosomal RNA", at positions 355 to 776 of the family's 1533-position model. The record is from RNAcentral.
UGGGGAAUUUUGCACAAUGGGGGAAACCCUGAUGCAGCGACGCCGCGUGAUUUAGAAGGCCUUCGGGUUGUAAAAAUCUUUUCUAUGGGAAGAAAAUGACAGUACCAUAGGAAUAAGGACCGGCUAAUUACGUGCCAGCAGCCGCGGUAAUACGUAAGGUCCGAGCGUUGUCCGGAAUCAUUGGGCGUAAAGGGUACGUAGGCGGGUAAGCAAGUUAGAAGUGAAAUCCUAUAGCUCAACUAUAGUAAGCUUUUAAAACUGCUCAUCUUGAGGUAUGGAAGGGAAAGUGGAAUUCCUAGUGUAGCGGUGAAAUGCGCAGAUAUUAGGAGGAAUACCGGUGGCGAAGGCGACGUUCUGGCCGUAACCUGACGCUGAGGUACGAAAGCGUGGGUAGCAAACAGG